GAAGCCCAAAGGAGGAAAAAAGAGUUGCCUGUGGAGUAGGCUAGGAGUUCUCAGUACUGUGGUCAAAGUUAGAUGUGAUUGUUGAUGGAGGUGUUAUAAACCCAACUAAGGAAUGUCGAUUGGGGUCUACAGUGGUUGAUCUCUCCAAURCUGGUCAGUUUGCUGUCAUUAGAGAGGGAAGUGCCUACCAAGAAACUGUGCAAACACUGGAAAGACAUGGAUUACUACAAUCAUGAUGGAAAUCCACUUAUAGACCAGACUGCUGUUUUAGAUCAACUAGCCUGUUCUUGAACCCAUCCAAAAAAAAUUGAAAUUUGUUGUUUUGUGUGCUGGGGUGUUUCAUCACACCCCAGCACACCUUUGUAGUAAUUUUUCAAUCUGAAUGUCUUUUGUAUAUAUAGUGUUUUAUUAUUUACUUUUUGUACUUUUUCUGAMAUUUUAUUGAAUGUAGUUAAAAACAAGUGUUAUUAAUUAUUACUCAAUAACAUACAUACAAUUAAUAAUAUAAGAUUUUUCAGGGAACAGCGGCGUAAAUUGCUCGGCUGUAAACUUCAAUGAAGCAUUUAGGACAUGCACUCUGAGUUUUAAAUCAAACUAUAUACAUCUACAUUACAAAAUUGUAUUUCUGGCAACAACCACUUAGUUUAGUGUGGAAUAUUUAUAUAAACAGUAACUCCUUCGGAUAAAUAUCUUAGAUUUUAGAUU
Exaiptasia diaphana is the source of this 705-nucleotide long non-coding RNA. RefSeq lists it as uncharacterized. Lineage: Eukaryota; Metazoa; Cnidaria; Anthozoa; Actiniaria; Aiptasiidae. The transcript is spliced from 3 exons. The record is from RefSeq and is a predicted model, not a curated record.